RNAcentral lists this ribosomal RNA (292 nucleotides) under uncultured bacterium. RNAcentral describes it as "partial 16S ribosomal RNA". It matches the Rfam family "Bacterial small subunit ribosomal RNA", at positions 505 to 796 of the family's 1533-position model. The record is from RNAcentral.
GUGUCAGCAGCCGCGGUAAUACGUAGGUGGCGAGCGUUGUCCGGAUUUAUUGGGCGUAAAGCGCGUGCAGGCGGUUCGUUAAGUUCAGGGUGAAAGCUCCCGGCUCAACUGGGAGAGGUCCUUGGAUACUGGCGGACUUGAGGGAGGUAGAGGAGAGUGGAAUUCUCGGUGUAGUGGUGAUAUGCGUAGAUAUCGAGAGGAACACCAGUGGCGAAGGCGGCUCUCUGGGCCUUUCCUGACGCUGAGACGCGAAAGCGUGGGGAGCGAACCGGAUUAGAAACCCUGGUAGUCC